AGACUGAGAAAGUAGAUCAAAAAAUGGCCGAUGUGAUCUGAAAGAGCAUUCAUGAUUCAGAUAAUAAUCUAUUGCCACAUGUUCGGAUAGUGAGAUUACAUAACAUGUACUAAUAAUAUAUAUCACUGUACUUUUUUAUGAAGAGAAGUUUAUAUCACCAUAGAAAUACUAUAUUUAUUGGAAUAUCAAUGUCUUAAAUUACUCUCUAUCUCA
Molecule: long non-coding RNA, 213 nt
Filed under: Elaeis guineensis (African oil palm)
Lineage: Eukaryota; Viridiplantae; Streptophyta; Magnoliopsida; Arecales; Arecaceae
Description: long non-coding RNA (EGUI_LNC078168)
Source: RNAcentral